Molecule: long non-coding RNA, 853 nt
Filed under: Carica papaya (papaya)
Lineage: Eukaryota; Viridiplantae; Streptophyta; Magnoliopsida; Brassicales; Caricaceae
Description: long non-coding RNA (CPAP_LNC012177)
Source: RNAcentral
GAUCCAGAAUGCAGCGAGGUAAGCCACGACGAAUAUUUGAGAAAUGCUGCUAGAAUCAGUUUGACAGCAAAUGAUGGAAUUGCUACCAACGAGACACGCAUUGUUAAUCCUCUGGGUUUCAUGAGGAAGGAACCUCUGGCUGACUGCCCUAUAGUAUUCAAGGAACUCGGAUUGGGUCCCGAUGGACAACUGAUCAAUAUAUAAUCUCAUUUUUAACAAUUAAUAUUCAUUCCUUCAUUUACCACUUCAAUAAGCAGUUGUAUUCUUUCCAAAAUUUCUUUUUGGCCUCAUCUUUUGUUUACUUAUUAAAAUGAAUCAUUAAUGUACGACUGUUUAUCAGGGCAUUAAUUAUUUGUCCUGCAUAUAAAUAUAUAUACAUAUAUAUAAAACCCUGUAGUACAACUACGUUUUUGCAGAAUUAAUUUUGUUCUUCUUGUAAGUUCAUGUAAUACUCUUAUUGCUAUACAAAAAAUAUAUAUAAAGAAUCUAUUAUUGUCUUGGAUGUUUCUUUUAUUUGUGUUUGCUAAUGUAUAAGAGAGUUAAUGAGGCCAAUUCUACAACAUUGUUGUUAGAAUUUCAUAGAAACAACUUGCAUUCUUUCUAAUCCUAGUUAGAACAUGCUUUAGGAGGAUGAAGAAUUGUCAAAAAUUUGGAUAACAUAAUUUAUUCCGAAAAACAAAAAUAUAAAAAAGAGUUGGCAGUUCAAAUCGAUCACCAUUGGAGGAGACAGCAACUUCACUGAAGUUUUCAGCCACAAGAGUGGAUCCUUAGAGUCUGCAACAGGAAAUUGAUGAAAAAUAACAGAGCAGAAAAAGAUUAGAGAAAAAUUCAAGGACGAAGAAGUAGUCGCGGG